AACGAACGCUAGCGGGAUGCCUCAAACAUGCAAGUCGUACGAGAAAGCACCUUCGGGUGUGAGUACAGUGGCGCACGGGUGCGUAACACGUAGCUAACGUACCCCUUCGCUGGGGAUAACUCCGGGAAACCGGAGCUAAUACCGAAUGAACUGGCAGAGUCUGCGGACUUUGUCGGUAAAGCCUUUGGGCGCGAAGGGAGCGGGCUGCGGCUCAUUAGCUUGAUGGUGGGGUAACGGCCUACCAUGGCGACGAUGAGUAGCUGGUCUGAGAGGAUGAUCAGCCACACUGGAACUGAAACACGGUCCAGACUCCCACGGGAGGCAGCAGUUGGGAAUAUUGGACAAUGGGGGGAACCCUGAUCCAGCAAUCCCGCGUGAGUGACGAAGGCCCUCGGGUCGUAAAGCUCUUUCAGCAGGGAAGAAGGGAAACUUGACGGUACCUGCAGAAGAAGCACCGGCUAACUACGUGCCAGCAGCCGCCGUAACAC
RNAcentral lists this ribosomal RNA (488 nucleotides) under uncultured bacterium. Its description in RNAcentral is "bacterial SSU rRNA". It matches the Rfam family "Bacterial small subunit ribosomal RNA", at positions 29 to 526 of the family's 1533-position model. The record is from RNAcentral.